AUCACAUGACAAUACUGUUGCAUAGAUACUGAUUGACAUAAUAAUGAUUUCAUAAACUGACAAAUAAUAUUGAUAAAGAUAGCAGGAAAAUUCGUCCAUAUAAUCUACAAGACACUCGUUAUGUACAGGUCACCUAUAAUCUACAGGUCACCUAUAAUCUACAGGUCUCCUAUAAUCGUGAGACACCACCCCGGCGUGGAUUAUUCUCCUGUCCACAUUAUUUUAAGUAAGUAAUAUCUCAUAUUUCCUCUUUUUGUGUGAG
Pangasianodon hypophthalmus (striped catfish) is the source of this 262-nucleotide long non-coding RNA. RefSeq lists it as uncharacterized. The transcript has 3 exons. Lineage: Eukaryota; Metazoa; Chordata; Actinopteri; Siluriformes; Pangasiidae. The record is from RefSeq and is a predicted model, not a curated record.